RNAcentral lists this ribosomal RNA (388 nucleotides) under Genetta maculata (panther genet). RNAcentral describes it as "partial 12S ribosomal RNA". It matches the Rfam family "Bacterial small subunit ribosomal RNA", at positions 794 to 1384 of the family's 1533-position model. Lineage: Eukaryota; Metazoa; Chordata; Mammalia; Carnivora; Viverridae. The record is from RNAcentral.
GCUUAGCCGUAAACUUAGGUAAUUAAAUAACAAAAUUACUCGCCAGGAAACUACUAGCCACUGCUUAAAACUCAAAGGACUUGGCGGUGCCCUAGACCCUCCUAGAGGAGCCUGUUCUAUAAUCGAUAAACCCCGAUACACCUCACCUCUUCUAGCUAAACAGUCUAUAUACCGCCAUCGUCAGCUCACCCCAAUAGGGUUCCAAAGUGAGCAAGAUCAUCAAACCAUAAAAACGUUAGGUCAAGGUGUAGCAUAUGAAGAGGGAAGCAAUGGGCUACAUUUUCUAUACUAGAACAUAACGAAUUGUCUACUGAAACAAAGACAUGAAGGAGGAUUUAGUAGUAAAUUAAGAAUAGAGAGCUUAAUUGAAAUAGGCAAUAGGGUGCGU